GAGUUUGAUUCUGGCUACAGAACGAACGCUGGCGGCGCGUCUUAAGCAUGCAAGUCGAACGGCAAGAGGUAGCAAUACCUCCUAGAGUGGCGGACUGGUGAGUAACACGUGGGUGACAUACCCUUCAGAUGGGGAUAGCUAUUAGAAAUAGUAGAUAAUACCGAAUACGAGCACAGGGGUUAGAGAUCUGUGAGGAAAGGAGCUAAGGCUCCGCUGAAGGAAUGGCCUGCGGCCCAUUAGCUAGUUGGUGAGGUAAGAGCCCACCAAGGCGAUGAUGGGUAUCCGGCCUUAGAGGGUGAACGGACACAUUGGGACUGAGAUACGGCCCAGACUCCUACGGGAGGCAGCAGCUAAGAAUAUUCCGCAAUGGACGAAAGUCUGACGGAGCGACGCCGCGUGGAUGAAGAAGGCCGGAAGGUUGUAAAAAUCCUUUUGAAACUGAAGAAUAAGCGUUGUAGGGAAUGACAGCGUGGUGACAGUAGGUUUUGAAUAAGCAACGGCUAAUUACGUGCCAGCCGCAGC
Molecule: ribosomal RNA, 522 nt
Filed under: uncultured bacterium
Lineage: Bacteria
Description: bacterial SSU rRNA
Rfam family: Bacterial small subunit ribosomal RNA
Source: RNAcentral